GAUGAACGCUGGCGGCGUGCCUAAUACAUGCAAGUCGAGCGAACAGACGAGGAGCUUGCUCCUCUGACGUUAGCGGCGGACGGGUGAGUAACACGUGGAUAACCUACCUAUAAGACUGGGAUAACUUCGGGAAACCGGAGCUAAUACCGGAUAAUAUAUUGAACCGCAUGGUUCAAUAGUGAAAGACGGUUUUGCUGUCACUUAUAGAUGGAUCCGCGCCGCAUUAGCUAGUUGGUAAGGUAACGGCUUACCAAGGCAACGAUGCGUAGCCGACCUGAGAGGGUGAUCGGCCACAUUGGAACUGAGACACGGUCCAGACCCCUACGGGAGGCAGCAGUAGGGAAUCUUCCGCAAUGGGCGAAAGCCUGACGGAGCAACGCCGCGUGAGUUAUGAAGGUCUUCGGAUCGUAAAACUCUGUUAUUAGGGAAGAACAAAUGUGUAAGUAACUAUGCACGUCUUGACGGUACCUAAUCAGAAAGCCACGGCUAACUACGUG
This 497-nucleotide ribosomal RNA is filed under the name uncultured bacterium. Its description in RNAcentral is "partial 16S ribosomal RNA". It matches the Rfam family "Bacterial small subunit ribosomal RNA", at positions 28 to 507 of the family's 1533-position model. The record is from RNAcentral.